GUUCCAUCCAGAGCGGCCGAGAGUUCUGGCUCGUUGACGCCGCAGCAACCCACUCCUGAACGGAAGCCUCCACAGGGAAACGGGUGCUAACGCCAGAUCCGAUGGAGA
This 108-nucleotide non-coding RNA is filed under the name Jonesia denitrificans. RNAcentral describes it as "SAM-I sequence". It matches the Rfam family "SAM riboswitch aptamer (S box leader)". From Rfam's summary of the family: The SAM riboswitch is found upstream of a number of genes which code for proteins involved in methionine or cysteine biosynthesis in Gram-positive bacteria. The SAM riboswitch acts at the level of transcription termination control. The record is from RNAcentral. RNAcentral also lists the same sequence under 1 other name. Lineage: Bacteria; Bacillati; Actinomycetota; Actinomycetes; Micrococcales; Jonesiaceae.